GCCGCUGCCGCUCCUGCCCCGCUGCCGGCGGCUGGCCGCGCCGGCGAGCCGGGGAGCAAAGGCGAGGGGGGAGGCUCCCCCGUGGCGGGGGUCACAGUGCAGGUGGGCUCCCCGCUUGGAAGCGGAGGCGGCGCCAGAAGGCAGCGCGGGGCUUUCGGGUCUUUCCCCCCCCCACGCGGCGCCUUCGGGGGCCACUUCCCGGGGGGGGGGGGCUCAUGGCAUGUGCCAGCCCCCUGCCCGGCAAAGGGGCAGCCACAGGGGCAGCAAAGGCUCCACACAGGGAAAAGGAGGGAGGAGAGGUGCCGAGUGCGGAGCGGCGUGCGGCCCCGUGCCACCGUGCCCAGCCGCCCUGCAGGGAUCCCGGAGGCGGAUAGCGGGACACAGGCUUCCCCGCUCCGCCGUGCCAUGCAAUACCCUGCAGGAAGCUGCCCUGCUCCGGGGUCGGUGUGUGGAGACGGGGCAGCCGGGAGCACGGAAGCGGCAUCCCGGGAUGGCCCGUCCUGCGGCAAGCAGGGGCAACACCACCCGGACGCGAGGCCUGUGGCCAUCCCGGUGCAGCCCCCGACGGCGGCCAGCCGGCACGGCUCCGAGGGGAGGCACAGAAAGGCCGGUGUCGCGCUUCCCGGCUCACACGUCCCUGCUCUCCCCGCCGCUGCCGCCUCGCUCGCGCACCCAGCGCGCAGGAAAAGCAGCUCUCACCGGCAGCGACUCGCCAAACCGCGACCGUCUCCCCCGGGCUCGCGGGCGCGCUGCGGAGGCGGUCCCGGACUCACGCAGGAACGGGGGGACAGAGAGCUGGGCGAGGAGGGAAGGAGACGGGAAAGGGUUCGGAGCAAGGCGGACGAGUGCGUCGGUGCUGAUGCCGUGUCGAGGGAAGCGGGGCCGGCUCUCCGUUGCCAUGGAUUUCCUGCUGCUCCGGUCCCAGUCUCACCAGCCAGAACACAGCUCUGGUCAUGUGUAGUUUCUGCUUUAUUCCUUAGGAUAUAUUUAUAUAUGUAUAGCGGCCGAGGCCCCC
This 1015-nucleotide long non-coding RNA is filed under the name Apteryx rowi (Okarito brown kiwi). Its description in RNAcentral is "lncRNA (ENSARWG00000009502.1)". Lineage: Eukaryota; Metazoa; Chordata; Aves; Apterygiformes; Apterygidae. The record is from RNAcentral.